AAAUAGAUACCCUGGUAGUCCAUGCCGUAAACGUUGGGCACUAGGUGUGGGGGACAUUCCACGUUUUCCGCGCCGUAGCUAACGCAUUAAGUGCCCCGCCUGGGGAGUACGGCCGCAAGGCUAAAACUCAAAGGAAUUGACGGGGGCCCGCACAAGCGGCGGAGCAUGCGGAUUAAUUCGAUGCAACGCGAAGAACCUUACCAAGGCUUGACAUGUGCCAGACCGCCUCAGAGAUGGGGUCUCCCUUCGGGGCUGGUUCACAGGUGGUGCAUGGUUGUCGUCAGCUCGUGUCGUGAGAUGUUGGGUUAAGUCCCGCAACGAGCGCAACCCUCGUUCCAUGUUGCCAGCACGUAGUGGUGGGGACUCAUGGGAGACUGCCGGGGUCAACUCGGAGGAAGGUGGGGAUGACGUCAAAUCAUCAUGCCCCUUAUGUCUUGGGCUUCACGCAUGCUACAAUGGCCGGUACAAUGGGUUGCGAUACUGUGAGGUGGAGCUAAUCCCUAAAAGCCGGUCUCAGUUCGGAUUGGGGU
RNAcentral lists this ribosomal RNA (530 nucleotides) under uncultured bacterium. Its description in RNAcentral is "bacterial SSU rRNA". It matches the Rfam family "Bacterial small subunit ribosomal RNA", at positions 776 to 1304 of the family's 1533-position model. The record is from RNAcentral.